UAGGGUUCGAUUCCGGAGAGGGAGCCUGAGAACGGCUACCACAUCCAAGGAAGGCAGCAGGCGCGCAAAUUACCCAAUCCCGACACGGGGAGGUAGUGACAAUAAAUAACAAUAUGGGGCUCUUACGAGUCUCGUAAUUGGAAUGAGUACAAUUUAAAUCUCUUAACGAGGAACAAUUGGAGGGCAAGUCUGGUGCCAGCAGCCGCGGGAAUUUCCAGCUCCAAUAGCGUAUAUUAAAGUUGUUGCAGUUAAAAAGCUCGUAGUUGAAUUUCGGAAUCUGUCCGUCGGUCGGGCUUCACUGUCCGUACUGGCGUGAUGGGUUUCUACCUUCUGAAUAACCGGCAUGUCAUUAAUUUGGUGCGCCGGGGAAGCAGAACUAUUACCUUGAAAAAAUUAGAGUGCUUAAAGCAGGCUAUCGCCUGAAUAGAUUAGCAUGGAAUAAUAAAAUAGGACGGCAUGGUUCUAUUUUGUUGGUUUCUAGGAUCACCGUAAUGAUUAAUAGGGAUAGUUGGGGGCAUUAGUAUUCAAUUGUCAGAGGUGAAAUUCUUGGAUUUAUUGAAGACUAACUUCUGCGAGAGCAUUUGCCAAGGAUGUUUUCAUUAAUCAAGAACGAAAGUUAGGGGGAUCGAAGACGAUCAGAUACCGUCGUAGUCUUAACCAUAAACUAUGCCGACUAGGGAUCGGACGAUGUUAAUUUUUUAAUGACUCGUUCGGCG
RNAcentral lists this ribosomal RNA (716 nucleotides) under uncultured Acaulospora. Its description in RNAcentral is "SSU rRNA". It matches the Rfam family "Eukaryotic small subunit ribosomal RNA", at positions 371 to 1085 of the family's 1831-position model. Lineage: Eukaryota; Fungi; Glomeromycota; Glomeromycetes; Diversisporales; Acaulosporaceae. The record is from RNAcentral.